This 900-nucleotide long non-coding RNA is filed under the name Marmota monax (woodchuck). The record is from RNAcentral. Lineage: Eukaryota; Metazoa; Chordata; Mammalia; Rodentia; Sciuridae.
AUAAUACUACUCUUGCGUUUCUUAUCAAUAUCAAACAGCAUAUUUUUUUCAGAAAUGGAAAAGGUGAUUUUAAAGUUCAUAUGGAAAUGCAUGGUAUCCUGAAUGCCUAAAACAAUUUUGAAAAGAAGUUGGAAGUCUCACUCUUCCUGAUCUCAAAAUUUACUAUGAAGAAUAAUCAAAAGAAGGCGGUGUUGACAUUGUAAUAGAAUUGAGGGUCCAGAAGUAUUCUUUUCAACAAAUAAUGCUGCUUAAAAAGAGAGGUAAAGGCCAAAGAAUGAAUUCAGACCUCUUUGUUACACCAUUACACACCAUUUACAGAAAUCAGCUCAAAAAGAGAGCAAAGGCCUAAUAUACAACAUAAAGCUGUAAAACUCUGAGAAGGAAGUAGAUAUAAAUAUGCAUGACCUUGGCAUUAGUCAACAGUUGUUAAAUAUGACACCAAAAGCAUAGGUAGUAAAAGACAGAAAGAAAUAAAGAUGUCUUGUUUGUGCUAGUUUGCUAGGUAUGUUGUAACAAAUUAUCAGUCUAUGUGGUACAAAGAAAAGGAAGUUUGUUUUUUGUUUUUGUUUUGUACAGUUCUGGAAUCUGAAAGUCCAAGAUUAAUGUUUUGGAAAGACGGGUUUCUUCUAAAGCUCCUCUCCUUGUCUUACAGAUGGCCUGCUUUUUAUUUCCUCUUUACAUGGUCUUUUCUCUGCCAGGAGAAUGUGUUCCUGAAAUUUCUCUGUCCAACUUUCCUCCACUUCUCAGGACACCAUCCAGAUUGGAUUAGGGCUCUCCCUAAUGACCUCAUUUUUUAUUUUAAUCACCUCAUUAAAGGUCCUCCUUCAAAUAUAGUCUUAUUGUAAAGAGGUGGGUAUUAUGAUUUUAGCAUUUGAAUUUUGAGGAUACACAAUUCAACCC